This 590-nucleotide ribosomal RNA is filed under the name uncultured bacterium. RNAcentral's name for it is "partial 16S ribosomal RNA". It matches the Rfam family "Bacterial small subunit ribosomal RNA", at positions 355 to 1375 of the family's 1533-position model. The record is from RNAcentral.
UGGGGAAUUUUGGACAAUGGGCGAAAGCCUGAUCCAGCAAUGCCGCGUGUGUGAAGAAGGCCUUCGGGUUGUAAAGCACUUUUGUCCGGAAAGAAAUCCUUGACUCUAAUACAGUCGGGGGAUGACGGUACCGGAAGAAUAAGCACCGGCUAACUACGUGCCAGCAGCCGCGGUAAUACGUAGGGUGCAAGCGUUAAUCGGAAUUACUGGGCGUAAAGCGUGCGCAGGCGGUUUGCUAAGACCGAUGUGAAAUCCCCGGGCUCAACCUGGGAACUGCAUUGGUGACUGGCAGGCUAGAGUAUGGCAGAGGGGGGUAGAAUUCCACGUGUAGCAGUGAAAUGCGUAGAGAUGUGGAGGAAUACCGAUGGCGAAGGCAGCCCCCUGGGCCAAUACUGACGCUCAUGCACGAAAAGCGUGGGGAGCAAAACAGGAUUAGAUACCCUGGUAGUCCACGCCCUAAAACGAUGUCAACUAGUUGUUGGGGAUUCAUUUCCUUAGUAACGUAGCUAACGCGUGAAGUUGACCGCCUGGGGAGUACGGUCGCAAAGAUUAAAAACUCAAAUGAAUUGACGGGGUCAUAGCUGUUUCCU